This 329-nucleotide long non-coding RNA is filed under the name Oryza brachyantha (malo sina). Its description in RNAcentral is "long non-coding RNA (OBRA_LNC003324)". The record is from RNAcentral. Lineage: Eukaryota; Viridiplantae; Streptophyta; Magnoliopsida; Poales; Poaceae.
CAAAACUGACCAAUCAAUUGAAUUUCCUGAUACAACAUACGUAACAUUUUGUCGCUACACAAGUGUACUAAAUCUGAAUUCGCACUAAUUAACUCAAUCUUGUUAUCUCUACUUUAUGGCCUAAAUCAGAUUGCAAUACUAACCAAAGAGUGUGCUAACUAACUCCGCACAAGAUAAAGUUGAGCAUUGCUCAGUGCGUUGAUUGCAUGGAGCAGAAUGAGCUCCAGUAGAGUGAAUUGGCAUCGGCGGUGACCACUCUACCGCAUGUAUGUGCUUCUGCAGAAAUGGCCAGAGUAGUGCAGGCAUCGUGAAAUCAUAAAUCCUGAUCC